GGGCCGCGGUAUUUUGACCGUGCAAAGGUAGCAUAAUGAAAUGUCUCUUAAUUGGAGACUGGAAUGAACGGUCGGACAAGAAGUAAGCUGUCUCUUUAAUAAAACUGAAAUUUUACUUUUAAGUGAAAAGGCUUAAAUAAUAUAAGAAGACGAUAAGACCCUAUAAAACUUUACAAAUCAUAGAUAUACUUUAGUAAGUUGAGUGUAAAAGGGUGUGUAUAUGAGUUGUUUUGCUGGGGCGGCAGAGAUAUAAACAAGUAACUGUUUUUAGUGUCAAAAUACCGAUAUGUAGUAAACAUGGUCCUUUAAUAAGGAUUAAAAGAUCAAGUUACUUUAGGGAUAACAGCGUAAUUUCUCUUGAGAGUUCUAAUCGACAGAGCAAGUUGCGACCUCGAUGUUGAAUUAAGGUGUUAUUCAGGUGCAGCCGCUUGAAUAGUGAGUCUGUUCGACUUUUAAAACCUU
Molecule: ribosomal RNA, 462 nt
Filed under: Lysmata cf. anchisteus NVS-2010
Lineage: Eukaryota; Metazoa; Arthropoda; Malacostraca; Decapoda; Hippolytidae
Description: partial 16S ribosomal RNA
Rfam family: Bacterial large subunit ribosomal RNA
Source: RNAcentral